GCCCGCCAUCGGGCGAUCGCGUUCAUUGCUUGCAAUGGAUGAGGAAAGUCCGAACUCCAUAGGGCAGCGUGCCGGUCAAGAUCAUCCAAGACCGGGCGGCAGGAAAUAAUCACUUCGUGAAAAAACCUGCCGACAGCAUAGUGUCACAGAAAAGUAAACCACCUUCUUCUUCGGAAGAUGGAACGGGUGAAACGGCGGUGUAAGAGACCACCGUGUUCCGGGUAACCGGAGCAGUCACGAUAAACCUCGCGCGGAGCAAGACCAUGUAUGAAGUCCAUUUGCCUUCGGGCAAAUAGCCGCUGCCCGCGGAGCGUGGCUUCGGGUAGGUCGCAUUAGAUCAAUGAUCGCCUCUCUUUAUAUAUAAUGUAAAGACCAGACAGAAUUCGGCUUACAGAUGGCGGGUGAUA
This 407-nucleotide RNase P RNA is filed under the name Bacteroidota bacterium. RNAcentral describes it as "RNase P RNA component class A". It matches the Rfam family "Bacterial RNase P class A". Rfam says of the family: Ribonuclease P (RNase P) is a ubiquitous endoribonuclease, found in archaea, bacteria and eukarya as well as chloroplasts and mitochondria. Its best characterised activity is the generation of mature 5'-ends of tRNAs by cleaving the 5'-leader elements of precursor-tRNAs. The record is from RNAcentral. Lineage: Bacteria; Pseudomonadati; Bacteroidota.